GGGGCCAGAGCGCAGCAGGACCCGCACAACCCUUCUUUCUACACUUCCCAGAGACGAUGUAGGAUGAAGGCAGGAGGAGCCACUGAGCAAAACUUCGUGGAGUUGGGUCCAGGGUCCAGUGGCGACAGCGGCUCAUCACCUGAGACCUGACCUGGACAAGCGCGGCCUCCAGGUCUUGCCACCACUGCUGAUUCGUGUUUGCUAUCCCGAUCUACCGAACUGGACUGCUGGUAUAUUCUUGAAUCUCGCUGCCACUGCUGAUCAGUAAACUGAACUGUUGAUUUCCUGAUAAUGCAGAUGGGAUUUGCUCCAAAGAACCAUUGCUAAACAGGACCAGUCAAGGUCUAUUUGGGUUCCAGGCAGAAAUGUCUGACACCACCCCACGGACCAAGAUGGCCCACCUCUCGCUGACAGAUCAAGGACCGGGGAAGCAGAGGAGGCAGAAUCACCAACAGAACAAGAUGUCUUGAAAGGACACUCAUGACCUAGUGGCAGACACCCAGGCCACAUGACCUCCACAGGCUUCCCUUUCCUCUAUUCUUAUGGCUGUUUUUGUUAUUAUUAAUUUUAACUCUGCCCAGCCUCUUCCCAACCCUCCCAAUAUCCACCGCUGGAGAGUCUUAACUAGGGAGACUUAUGACAGACACAACACAGUCAUAGGAACCCUGGACUGCCCACUUGAAGGAUGCUGGACCAAAAUUGAGAUUCCUCUACACAUCAAUUCCACUCCCAGCCCUUUCCUCUUCUUUCCUUACAACACAGGUGAAGGCCUCCAUAUAUGGAGGUUGCAGAUAUUUGGAGACACCAAAUCGAAUCCCCCCCAGUCAUGGUGGCACCAUGUUCGCCAACCUUAACACUCAUUUUUAGCUUGUCAUCAGUGACCCCUGGGACGAUUGAUGACAAAUGGAAAUUGUAGGUAAGCUACCUACCCUAACAGUUCUGCCAUACUCCAUAGCCAACUUACACAUUUCUUGCCAGCUUAUCCCUGCCUCCAAGUUGGUCUUUACCCACAUUAACAUUAUUCAACAGAAGGCUCAAACUCAAGAAGAGAUCCAAGCCACCCUCUGCUGGCUACAAUAGAAUACAAUAGAAUUCCUUGAAUUCCUCCGCAUGCAAAUAAGGCAUCCCCAGCACCCUGGCCCAGCCAAUGGUGUACACUCAUCCUGAAGACCCCUACUCACCCCCAUGCAAAGGUUAAACACCUUGUGUCUCCCCUAAUAAAUUGAACCAGUUCUCUGAA
RNAcentral lists this long non-coding RNA (1240 nucleotides) under Mus musculus (house mouse). RNAcentral describes it as "RIKEN cDNA 9330175E14 gene". Lineage: Eukaryota; Metazoa; Chordata; Mammalia; Rodentia; Muridae. The record is from RNAcentral.